Molecule: long non-coding RNA, 1078 nt
Filed under: Piliocolobus tephrosceles (Ugandan red Colobus)
Lineage: Eukaryota; Metazoa; Chordata; Mammalia; Primates; Cercopithecidae
Description: lncRNA (ENSPTEG00000012591.1)
Source: RNAcentral
UUAAUGAGCUCAUUCUUUUUUUUUUUUUGUUUGGAUAGUAUAAAUGUGUAUACGUUGUACUUAUAUUUGAAAAGUUGUUUUUAAACAGAAAUAGCACAAUCGGUCGUGCAUCAGAACGUAUACAUAUAUAUGUAUAUACAUACCAAUACAUACUUAUUCAAUAACAUAAUUAGAACCAAAACUAGUAACAUUCUUACUGUUAUUUCGAAAUGUGGAAAGCGGCAAAUGUUUCUUACACAAGAUAUGCGUCAGAAAUGGCUAAUAUUUUAAGAAAAUGUUUAAAAGACCCAUAUUCAGAAAUAGCUUUGGGAAGAAGUAAAAUGCAUUUAAAAGAAACAUUAUAUAAAGAUGGAAAACCAAUAAGUCAAGGUAAUUUAUUUUCUAAAAAAAAAAAAAAAAAAGUAACUAUAAAACAAAUCCGAUUUAUAGAUAUAUACGUAUUAAUAAAAUAAUAAAUAAAUGACAGUUAAAAAAAAAAAAAAAAAAAAAAAAAAAAAAAGAGCAAUUAUAUAUAUUUUUAAUGGAUGUGUUGCUAUUAACCUUGCUUGUUUUUUCAACUAGUAUGCAUUCCCUCUAUACACAUGCUUAUCUACAUUGAUAACAUAUAUACAUUUUACUAUUUUUUUAACAGAGCUACAUGAAGAGUUUGAAAAAGCUUUUAAAAAUUUAAAUAGUACUAAACAAUGAUGCUAAAUUUUGAUUGAGUGAAAAAAAAAAAAAAAAAAAAAAAAAGAAGAAGAAGAAAAAGAAGGUAGUUAAUAUUGGGAUCUAUCAUAAAAAACAGAAAAAAAAAAAAAAAAAAAAAAAUAGUUGUUAAAAGUAGACAAUAACGAAAAAAUAAUCAAAAACAAUGUAUUUAAUAUUGCCUAAUAUAUAAGUCAAACUGAUCUGUUUUUUUUUUUUUACUUUGUUUGUGUCAUUUGGAAUGUACAUAUUUUUAAUAAUUGAAAAAAUUUGGUACAUAUAUACAUAUAUAUGCAUGUAUGUAACAUAUUGCUAAUUCCACACUUUUUAUAAAACACUACGUAAAAAUAUGAAAUCAAAUAAACAGUAUUAUAUAUAUGUAUAUAUAGUAAAA